UAGGGAAUCUUCCACAAUGGGCGCAAGCCUGAUGGAGCAACACCGCGUGAGUGAAGAAGGGUUUCGGCUCGUAAAGCUCUGUUGUUAAAGAAGGACGUGGGUAAGAGUAACUGUUUACCCAGUGACGGUAUUUAACCAGAAAGCCACGGCUAACUACGUGCUAG
Molecule: ribosomal RNA, 164 nt
Filed under: uncultured bacterium
Lineage: Bacteria
Description: partial 16S ribosomal RNA
Rfam family: Bacterial small subunit ribosomal RNA
Source: RNAcentral